UAGAGUUUGUUCCUGGCUCAGGAUGAACGCUAGCUACAGGCUUAACACAUGCAAGUCGAGGGGCAGCAUGGUCUUAGCUUGCUAAGGCCGAUGGCGACCGGCGCACGGGUGAGUAACACGUAUCCAACCUGCCGUCUACUCUUGGACAGCCUUCUGAAAGGAAGAUUAAUACAAGAUGGCAUCAUGAGUCCGCAUGUUCACAUGAUUAAAGGUAUUCCGGUAGACGAUGGGGAUGCGUUCCAUUAGAUAGUAGGCGGGGUAACGGCCCACCUAGUCUUCGAUGGAUAGGGGUUCUGAGAGGAAGGUCCCCCACAUUGGAACUGAGACACGGUCCAAACUCCUACGGGAGGCAGCAGUGAGGAAUAUUGGUCAAUGGGCGAGAGCCUGAACCAGCCAAGUAGCGUGAAGGAUGACUGCCCUAUGGGUUGUAAACUUCUUUUAUAAAGGAAUAAAGUCGGGUAUGCAUACCCGUUUGCAUGUACUUUAUGAAUAAGGAUCGGCUAACUCCGUGCCAGCAGCCGCGGUAAUACGGAGGAUCCGAGCGUUAUCCGGAUUUAUUGGGUUUAAAGGGAGCGUAGAUGGAUGUUUAAGUCAGUUGUGAAAGUUUGCGGCUCAACCGUAAAAUUGCAGUUGAUACUGGAUAUCUUGAGUGCAGUUGAGGCAGGCGGAAUUCGUCGUGUAGCGGUGAAAUGCUUAGAUAUGACGAAGAACUCCGAUUGCGAAGGCAGCCUGCUGUAGCGCAACUGACGCUGAAGCUCGAAAGCGUGGGUAUCGAACAGGAUUAGAUACCCUGGUAGUCCACGCGGUAAACGAUGGAUGCUCGCUGUUUGCGUCUGACGUAAGCGGCCAAGCGAAAGCGUUAAGCAUCCCACCUGGGGAGUACGCCGGCAACGGUGAAACUCAAAGGAAUUGACGGGGGCCCGCACAAGCGGAGGAACAUGUGGUUUAAUUCGAUGAUACGCGAGGAACCUUACCCGGGCUUGAACUGCAGCGGACGGAUACAGAGAUGUUGACUCCCUUCGGGGCCGCUGUGGAGGUGCUGCAUGGUUGUCGUCAGCUCGUGCCGUGAGGUGUCGGCUUAAGUGCCAUAACGAGCGCAACCCUUGUUCGUAGUUGCCAUCGGGUGAAGCCGGGCACUCUGCGAAGACUGCCUCCGUAAGGAGUGAGGAAGGUGGGGAUGACGUCAAAUCAGCACGGCCCUUACGUCCGGGGCUACACACGUGUUACAAUGGCAUGUACAGAAAGCAGGGCGUAUGCAAAUACGCUCGAAUCCCUAAAACAUGUCUCAGUUCGGACUGGGGUCUGCAACCCGACCCCACGAAGCUGGAUUCGCUAGUAAUCGCGCAUCAGCCAUGGCGCGGUGAAUACGUUCCCGGGCCUUGCACUCACCGCCCGUCAAG
RNAcentral lists this ribosomal RNA (1400 nucleotides) under uncultured bacterium. RNAcentral describes it as "partial 16S ribosomal RNA". It matches the Rfam family "Bacterial small subunit ribosomal RNA". The record is from RNAcentral.